This 81-nucleotide transfer RNA is filed under the name Felis catus (domestic cat). It matches the Rfam family "tRNA". Rfam says of the family: Transfer RNA (tRNA) molecules are approximately 80 nucleotides in length. Their secondary structure includes four short double-helical elements and three loops (D, anti-codon, and T loops). The record is from Rfam by way of RNAcentral. Lineage: Eukaryota; Metazoa; Chordata; Mammalia; Carnivora; Felidae.
GCCUGGGUGGCUUAGUUAAGCGUCUGACUUGGGCUCAGGUCAUGAUUUCACAGUUUGUGGGUUCAAGCCCCACGUCAGGCU